UCAUCAGGGAUCAAGGUUGCCAUUACACCGGAUGAAUUUGUAUUUUAGCAGAUUGUUCAUAACGCGACAGAUAAAGAUGCGAUUCUCAAAAAUUUACAGAUAUUUACCAAAGAGCCAGAUUUCUUUCGUGUUGUUCCACAAAAAGGUCAUCACGUGAAAUUUUGUUAAACGUAAUUAUUGUCGGAUUAUCGUCAAACAUUUAUUUGCUUGGUCAGAUUUUCUUUGAAACUGUCUGGCACCAGGGAAAGAAAAAAAGAAGAAGUCAGUUGUUCACCCUUCAGAUUGCAUAGACUGUACAUUCAAGAGCAAACAAAACACUCACCGUCAUGGUUAAUAUCCAAGCCAAAACGAGUAGUUCAGAAUUAUACAACACUCCCCGUUUCGACGUGACAUUUACACUCACGAUCAGUGUCUUGUCUGCUCUGUAACAUACAGUCACUGUAGUUCUGACCUGACAGUUCAGAUAACACUAUAUAUUUUCGUUCAAGUUGUUUGGAAAGUUAGUAAUUAAAACCUGAAAAUUAAAACUUACAGGAAUUCAAUGUGUGUGAAGCAUAAGGCAAUAUAUCUAAGGCAAUUGGGAUUUUGAGACACGGUUGGCCCAGUGAUAUGCACCAGCGUCAAGCUACGCACAAAAAGCCUAUUCAAGCACCAAAAUUUUUCCAGGGUGACAAGCCGAGACACAAACCAAAAGCGUAAAGCUACGCACAAAAAGCCUGUUCAAGUACCAAAAAUUUAGACACAAGAAGCGAUAUCUAGUAUUUAUCUAAGGAACUAAAAAAAUACCUAAUUUUUUUUCUAGCAUUUCUGUACGUAGCAGAGGCACAAACCAAUUUUUUGAGUUUUAAAAGCACCAUCUAGUAACCCAGCUACGCACAAAAAGCCGCUUCAAGCACAAAAAUCCAAUUCAAGCGAAAAAUUGUAAUCAUUAUCGUCAAAAAUAACUUAGAUUGCCAUUAAAUAAAAUUUAAUUAAUUAUGGUAACUCUAAA
Long non-coding RNA from Wyeomyia smithii (pitcher-plant mosquito), 991 nucleotides. RefSeq lists it as uncharacterized. The record is from RefSeq and is a predicted model, not a curated record. The transcript is spliced from 2 exons. NCBI's taxonomy places the organism in Eukaryota, Metazoa, Arthropoda, Insecta, Diptera, Culicidae.